Molecule: transfer RNA, 72 nt
Filed under: Marmota monax (woodchuck)
Lineage: Eukaryota; Metazoa; Chordata; Mammalia; Rodentia; Sciuridae
Description: tRNA.Ala
Source: RNAcentral
UGGGUUGUGGCUCAGUGAUAGAGUGCUCACCUAGCACGUGUGAGGCCCUGGGUUUAAUCCUAAGCACUACAU